This is a long non-coding RNA of Trifolium pratense (red clover), 887 nucleotides long. RefSeq lists it as uncharacterized. The record is from RefSeq and is a predicted model, not a curated record. The transcript has 3 exons. Lineage: Eukaryota; Viridiplantae; Streptophyta; Magnoliopsida; Fabales; Fabaceae.
GGGGGCAAACUUUGAAAUUCAAAAUUCAAAUCAAACAAGAUGAUAUACCACUUCUCUCUCAUUAUUCUUUCUUCUACAUUUAACUCUUCACUCUCCUCCUUUUGCUUAUUCAUAUUUUGUGAUAUCCUCCAUUUUACUAAUAUUCAUUUUUUUGUGUUUUGCAGAAAAAGUAUAAGACAUUCAUCUCUAUCCAACAACAAGAAUUACUCAUCUCUACCAACAACAACAACAACAACAACGCGGCCGAAUAAGUAUACGAAGAUUAAACUCACGUAUGAAGAUCUCCUUGCCAUUUUGUUGUUGCGGCGGCUAGGGUUUGAUGAAGGAGAAGAGAGAAUUUGGUGAAAAAUAUAUGAAGGUUAUACCAACCAUGUAUUCACAAGAUAUUUACAAAAUAGAAGGAUUUCAUUUUCCGGCACGGUGGAUGCAAUUUCCGGCACGGUGGUCACCGGUAAAAGUAGUCCGAUCUUGAUUUUUACUUUGUGGGUUUUGUAGAGAAUAUCGAUGAGAGUCUUUUUAUGAUGAUGAUUUUUUUGAAGGUUAUCUAUGGUGGUGGAGAUCUAGACGAAAAGGUGGACGGUUGGAGAAAUAUAACAGAAAAAAAAAAUCGGUGGAAGGAAGAUAACUUGAGAAGUUCAAAUAUGCAUAUUGUCUAAAAGGAGCAUGUGCCGGAGCAAUGGUGGAAGUUGGCGGCGGCUAGGGUUUGUUGGAGAGGAAGAGAGUUUCUCAAAGAAAUGUUUGUUAAGAGAGAGAAGGAAAAUUAUUAAAUGGGUGUUUGAAGUUAAAAGUGAAAAAAAUAGAUUCCUCAUUGGUCUACCACAAGAGAAGAAUGAUUAUUUUUUUAUUUUUUAUUUGUAAUAAAAGAUUGGGAAAAGUUUUAAUUGUUA